UUCUCAGGAAAGCUGUAGCUUGGAAUAGAAAUGGCCUGCCCAAGAUGCCCUUGGGAGAAAGGAAUGCUCAUCUCCUUUUGCCCUCCUUUGGCAGCCUACGUAG
This 103-nucleotide small nucleolar RNA is filed under the name Echinops telfairi (small Madagascar hedgehog). RNAcentral's name for it is "Small nucleolar RNA SNORA67 (ENSETEG00000025707.1)". It matches the Rfam family "Small nucleolar RNA SNORA67", at positions 42 to 143 of the family's 143-position model. From Rfam's summary of the family: U67 belongs to the H/ACA class of snoRNAs which are thought to guide the sites of modification of uridines to pseudouridines. The record is from RNAcentral. Lineage: Eukaryota; Metazoa; Chordata; Mammalia; Afrosoricida; Tenrecidae.